GAAAGAGGGGAAGCAAGCACACACCCUGUGGCCAGUCACGGCUGCCCGCUUUCCACACCUGACCUCUUCAGUUCAUCAGUGGGGUUCACCAGCAUCACCCCCAUUUUUCAUGGGGAGAAACUCAGAAGUGGAGAGAACGUCUGAGGCUACAUAGCCAGUACAAAGUAGGUUUUCUGCUUGAAAAACCUGUUUCUAUUUCUUUUUAAAAAAUCAUACUGCAUAACAGAAUAGUAAAAACAAAAUGCGUGUUAAGACUUACAGGGAAACAGUUGCCGUUUCAUUUUAAGUGAGACUUGCUACUCUUUUUCAUCGUCUCUUGAAAGACUGACAGAAGGAAAAUAUGACUUAUCAGAAAUCUGUUGUCUGCAUGCAUGGACCUAGUGUUUUCAUCAGCUCCCUUCAGCAUCUUGGGACCUCUCUAAUCCUGCCUAAUUUGGGACUUUUUCUGCAGGAUUGUAAUGUAAAAUAGUUCUUUAGCUCUUGGAGAUUUUUAAUAAUACGAGUUAUUAAAAACCA
RNAcentral lists this long non-coding RNA (516 nucleotides) under Homo sapiens (human). RNAcentral describes it as "non-protein coding lnc-MACC1-1:9". The record is from RNAcentral. Lineage: Eukaryota; Metazoa; Chordata; Mammalia; Primates; Hominidae.